This 674-nucleotide ribosomal RNA is filed under the name Nectria cinnabarina. RNAcentral describes it as "SSU rRNA". It matches the Rfam family "Eukaryotic small subunit ribosomal RNA", at positions 790 to 1485 of the family's 1831-position model. The record is from RNAcentral. Lineage: Eukaryota; Fungi; Ascomycota; Sordariomycetes; Hypocreales; Nectriaceae.
AGUGGUUGUUUUUUUUAGCAUGGGAAUAAUGGAAUAGGACGUGUGGUUCUAUUUUGUUGGUUUCUAGGACCGCCGUAAUGAUUAAUAGGGACAGUCGGGGGCAUCAGUAUUCCGUUGUCAGAGGUGAAAUUCUUGGAUUUACGGAAGACUAACUACUGCGAAAGCAUUUGCCAAGGAUGUUUUCAUUAAUCAGGAACGAAAGUUAGGGGAUCGAAGACGAUCAGAUACCGUCGUAGUCUUAACCAUAAACUAUGCCGACUAGGGAUCGGACGAUGUUAUUUUUUGACUCGUUCGGCACCUUACGAGAAAUCAAAGUGCUUGGGCUCCAGGGGGAGUAUGGUCGCAAGGCUGAAACUUAAAGAAAUUGACGGAAGGGCACCACCAGGGGUGGAGCCUGCGGCUUAAUUUGACUCAACACGGGGAAACUCACCAGGUCCAGACACAAUGAGGAUUGACAGAUUGAGAGCUCUUUCUUGAUUUUGUGGGUGGUGGUGCAUGGCCGUUCUUAGUUGGUGGAGUGAUUUGUCUGCUUAAUUGCGAUAACGAACGAGACCUUAACCUGCUAAAUAGCCCGUAUUGCUUUGGCAGUACGCUGGCUUCUUAGAGGGACUAUCGGCUCAAGCCGAUGGAAGUUUGAGGCAAUAACAGGUCUGUGAUGCCCUUAGAUGUUCUGG